GGAUAAAAAUCUCAGGACUAGGAGAGCCAGGGGCCCUGUUCCUUGAUUCCUUUGGGCGACACCUACUGAGGUGUCCCACCGCUGGCUGCUCCUCAGUACCCAAGUCUAGCGCAAUCCUUGCUCCCUGAAAUUGUACCUUGAUCCACUCAGCUAAAUCUGUGAAAAGCCCUCGGCAUCCUUCUCACCCAAGCACCC
RNAcentral lists this long non-coding RNA (195 nucleotides) under Fukomys damarensis (Damara mole-rat). Its description in RNAcentral is "lncRNA (ENSFDAG00000023007.1)". The record is from RNAcentral. Lineage: Eukaryota; Metazoa; Chordata; Mammalia; Rodentia; Bathyergidae.